CCUACGGGGGGCUGCAGUGGGGAAUAUUGGACAAUGGGGGGAACCCUGAUCCAGCCAUGCCGCGUGUGUGAAGAAGGCCCUCGGGUUGUAAAGCACUUUCAGUGAGGAAGAACGCCUGGUGGUUAAUACCCAUCAGGAAAGACAUCACUCACAGAAGAAGCACCGGCUAACUCCGUGCCAGCAGCCGCGGGAAUACGGAGGGUGCGAGCGUUAAUCGGAAUUACUGGGCGUAAAGCGCGCGUAGGUGGCUUGAUAAGCCGGUUGUGAAAGCCCCGGGCUCAACCUGGGAACGGCAUCCGGAACUGUCAAGCUAGAGUGCAGGAGAGGAAGGUAGAAUUCCCGGUGUAGCGGUGAAAUGCGUAGAGAUCGGGAGGAAUACCAGUGGCGAAGGCGGCCUUCUGGACUGACACUGACACUGAGGUGCGAAAGCGUGGGUAGCAAACAGGAUUAGAUACCCGAGUAGUC
RNAcentral lists this ribosomal RNA (465 nucleotides) under Vreelandella stevensii. RNAcentral's name for it is "partial 16S ribosomal RNA". It matches the Rfam family "Bacterial small subunit ribosomal RNA", at positions 338 to 795 of the family's 1533-position model. Lineage: Bacteria; Pseudomonadati; Pseudomonadota; Gammaproteobacteria; Oceanospirillales; Halomonadaceae. The record is from RNAcentral.